This 465-nucleotide ribosomal RNA is filed under the name uncultured bacterium. RNAcentral's name for it is "partial 16S ribosomal RNA". It matches the Rfam family "Bacterial small subunit ribosomal RNA", at positions 28 to 507 of the family's 1533-position model. The record is from RNAcentral.
GACGAACGCUGGCGGCGUGCUUAACACAUGCAAGUCGAACGGAAAGGCCCUGCUUGCAGGGUACUCGAGUGGCGAACGGGUGAGUAACACGUGGGUGAUCUGCCCUGCACUUCGGGAUAAGCCUGGGAAACUGGGUCUAAUACCGGAUAGGAGCCAUUUUUAGUGUGAUGGUUGGAAAGUUUUUUCGGUGUAGGAUGAGCUCGCGGCCUAUCAGCUUGUUGGUGGGGUAAUGUCCUACCAAGGCGGCGACGGGUAGCCGGCCUGUGAGGGUGGACGGCCACAUUGGGUCUGACAGACGGCCCAGACUCCGACGGGAGGCAGCAGGGGGGAAGAUUGCACAAUGGGCGCAAGCCGGAUGCAGCGACGCCGCGGGGGGGAGGACGGCCUUCGGGUUGGAAACUCCUUUCGCUAGGGACGAAGCUCUUUGUGACGGUACCUAGAUAAGAAGCACCGGCUAACUACGUG